CUGCGAAGGGGGGACGGAGAAGGCUAUGUUGGCCGGGCGACGGUUGUCCCGGUUUAAGCGUGUAGGUGUGUGUUCCAGGUAAAUCCGGUUCACUUUAACACUGAGGCGUGACGACGAGGCACUACGGUGCUGAAGCAACAAAUGCCCUGCUUCCAGGAAAAGCCUCUAAGCAUCAGGUAACAUCAAAUCGUACCCCAAACCGACACAGGUGGUCAGGUAGAGAAUACCAAGGCGCUUGAGAGAACUCGGGUGAAGGAACUAGGCAAAAUGGUGCCGUAACUUCGGGAGAAGGCACGCUGACAC
Molecule: ribosomal RNA, 303 nt
Filed under: Salmonella enterica subsp. enterica serovar Virchow
Lineage: Bacteria; Pseudomonadati; Pseudomonadota; Gammaproteobacteria; Enterobacterales; Enterobacteriaceae
Also listed under: 1 other name
Description: partial 23S ribosomal RNA
Rfam family: Bacterial large subunit ribosomal RNA
Source: RNAcentral